RNAcentral lists this ribosomal RNA (445 nucleotides) under uncultured bacterium. RNAcentral's name for it is "bacterial SSU rRNA". It matches the Rfam family "Bacterial small subunit ribosomal RNA", at positions 29 to 524 of the family's 1533-position model. The record is from RNAcentral.
AACGAACGCUGGCGGCAGGCCUAACACAUGCAAGUCGAACGCACCGCAAGGUGAGUGGCGCACGGGUGAGUAACACGUGGGAAUGUACCCUUUGGUUCGGAAUAACGUUUGGAAACGAACGCUAAUACCGGAUGAGCCCUGCGGGGGAAAGAUUUAUCGCCAAAGGAGCAGCCCGCGUCUGAUUAGCUAGUUGGUGGGGUAAAGGCCUACCAAGGCGACGAUCAGUAGCUGGUCUGAGAGGAUGAUCAGCCACACUGGGACUGAGACACGGCCCAGACUCCUACGGGAGGCAGCAGUGGGGAAUAUUGGACAAUGGGCGCAAGCCUGAUCCAGCCAUGCCGCGUGAGUGAUGAAGGCCUCGGUGUAAGACUCUUUCGUCACGCGACGAUGAUGACGGUAGCGUGAGAAGAAGCCCGGCUAACUCGUUGCCAGCAGCCGCGGUAAU